GAUGAACGCUGGCGGCGUGCUUAACACAUGCAAGUCGAACGAAGCACUUUAUUUGAUUUCCUUCGGGACUGAUUAUUUUGUGACUGAGUGGCGGACGGGUGAGUAACGCGUGGGUAACCUGCCUUGUACAGGGGGAUAACAGUUGGAAACGGCUGCUAAUACCGCAUAAGCGCACAGCAUCGCAUGAUGCAGUGUGAAAAACUCCGGUGGUAUAAGAUGGACCCGCGUUGGAUUAGCUAGUUGGUGAGGUAACGGCCCACCAAGGCGACGAUCCAUAGCCGACCUGAGAGGGUGACCGGCCACAUUGGGACUGAGACACGGCCCAAACUCCUACGGGAGGCAGCAGUGGGGAAUAUUGCACAAUGGGCGAAAGCCUGAUGCAGCGACGCCGCGUGAGCGAAGAAGUAUUUCGGUAUGUAAAGCUCUAUCAGCAGGGAAGAUAAUGACGGUACCUGGCGAAGAAGCACCGGCUAAAUACGUG
Molecule: ribosomal RNA, 481 nt
Filed under: uncultured bacterium
Lineage: Bacteria
Description: partial 16S ribosomal RNA
Rfam family: Bacterial small subunit ribosomal RNA
Source: RNAcentral